This 291-nucleotide long non-coding RNA is filed under the name Sus scrofa (pig). RNAcentral's name for it is "lncRNA (ENSSSCG00050018613.1)". The record is from RNAcentral. Lineage: Eukaryota; Metazoa; Chordata; Mammalia; Artiodactyla; Suidae.
GUAUUUUCCUGUGGAAUUUAAUACCUGGCAUUGUGAACCAUGGUGGGCCUGCUGUUGACGCCCAGAGGAAUCAGGGAGCCUAACUAUGUGGAGGACAGGAUGGAAAGAGUGGAACGAUGGAGAAGACAAGUUCCAAGUUUCCAAACUUCAAAGAUUCAUCAAUUUCAGGACAAUAACCAGGACAGUGCGAGAGAGAACAUCUUCUCAGAUAAAAGGCCUGUUAAAAGCAGACUGGAUCUAAGAAUUGAUUUGCUCAUCAGCCUAUGCGUCAUGGUGGCCCGUGGGGCAUGA